GGGCUGCAGUAUUUUGACUGUACAAAGGUAGCAUAAUCAAUAGUCUCUUAAUUGGUGACUUGUAUGAAAGAUUGGAUGAGAUAUAAACUGUCUCUAAUUGAUUUAUAAAAAUUAAUUUUUUAGUCAAAAAGCUAAAAUAAUUUUAAAAGACGAGAAGACCCUAUAGAGUUUAAUAUUUUAUUUAGUAAUUAUUAAUAUAUGUAAUUUUAAAAAUUAAAAUUAAAUGAAAUAUUUUGUUGGGGUGACAAAAAAAUUAAAUUAACUUUUUUUAAUUGUAAACAUUAAUUUAUGGUUAAAUGAUCCAUUUAUAGUGAUUAAAAGAAAAAAUUACCUUAGGGAUAACAGCGUAAUUUUUUUUUUUAGUCCAAAUAGGAAAAAAAGUUUGCGACCUCGAUGUUGGAUUAA
This 405-nucleotide ribosomal RNA is filed under the name Papilio gambrisius gambrisius. RNAcentral describes it as "partial 16S ribosomal RNA". The record is from RNAcentral. Lineage: Eukaryota; Metazoa; Arthropoda; Insecta; Lepidoptera; Papilionidae.